UCUAUCACCUGGGCCCUCUGCUAGACAGUGUUAUAUCUGUAGGGCUGUUCUCUAGAGAAAACUGUUAUGAAAUUGAAGCUGAGCGAACGCCGCCCAACAAAGUCCGAAAACUUCUAGAAAUUGUUGACGCACAGAUGGAUGAAAGUGGUGCCUCUAGUUUCAUGGAGUGUCUGAAGAAAUGCAAGAAACAUUACCCGCGUCUACAAACCUGGUUGACCUCAGAAGAAGAUCACUCCCAACCACCAGGCAUUAAGCAAGGUCCAACAGGUAGGACACAGAAUUUUCACUUUUACUUAAUAUAUAUGUAAUGUCUCCCAUUCCUCAUCAUUGUCCUGUCUCCAUGCAGAACGUCAGCUACAGGCCCAGUUUAAUGUUCUGUGCUCACGCUUGGGCUGUUCUGUUCUGCCGGUCUCCUACGAUCUCUUCUCCAGCGGCAUUCUGACUCAGUUGGAACUGGAGAAAAUCCAAGCAAUACCCAUCCCAACCCAGCAAGCACAAACUCUGCUGUCCAUCUGCCUGAAGAAAGGAGAAAAAGUGUGCAUGAGCUUUUACACAGCGCUACAGAAUGAAGACGAGCAACUAGCUGAGGAACUUAAUGUAAACAGUUUGGUGGAAGACCUUGAUAAAGAACCAGAAGGCAGCAUUGUGCCGAUAGCAGUGGAGGAAACUAGAGAUCACUUGAGAGCAGCUUUACCUCUGUCAGGUAGUUCACAUUUCAACAUUAUACUCAUUUUGUUGAAAACUAUGAGAGA
RNAcentral lists this long non-coding RNA (752 nucleotides) under Sinocyclocheilus grahami. RNAcentral describes it as "lncRNA (ENSSGRG00000001956.1)". The record is from RNAcentral. Lineage: Eukaryota; Metazoa; Chordata; Actinopteri; Cypriniformes; Cyprinidae.